Long non-coding RNA from Pan troglodytes (chimpanzee), 1553 nucleotides. RefSeq lists it as uncharacterized. The record is from RefSeq and is a predicted model, not a curated record. Lineage: Eukaryota; Metazoa; Chordata; Mammalia; Primates; Hominidae. The transcript is spliced from 2 exons.
AGUUGCCAGAAUGCUGCAACUAAGAGAGGGUGGAACAAUGGAAAGGUAGCAGGAAGGAACAGUGUCACCCAGUACAAAUGUCAAACACUGGAUCCUGGUGUAAUUAAAGCUGGGCCCUCAGGAGAUGUGGCAGAGGCUUACAAUGGUGCCACCACCCUGUACAUUACUCACCUGGUGCCUGUCAGGUGACACCUCAGCGUGAACAGGAAUAUCGCCUGACACCAUAGAAACACUGUCCUCUGAUUCAGGACUCACCAAUGGGGAAGUUAAAAAUUAACCAUGGCAUUUAUGCUACCCCUACGCACACCUUCAGACUUCAGAAAUGUCUCCUGGCAGAGGCCUCUUUGGCCUGAUGGUACUGUACCCUUCAUAGAGUUAUUAUUUUAUGGUUUUAUUUUUUCACAGCAAACAGCAACUACAGAAAGGCUGAGUAGUAGGGCCAAGGCUAUCUUUUGCCCAGUGUCCUGGGACUCUGGGGUAUUGUGAUAGCCCCAGAAAGUGAGCAGCCCUUCAGUGACUGGACUUCUAGAAUCUGCCUCGCCUGCCCUCCAGCUUCCCUGAGACCCUUCUGACCAGGGUAUGUUUACUUCCUCACAGCCACUUUUACUUCUAGAGUUGUAGCCCCAAGAAGGAUGUCAAAUAAGGGAACGAAACACCCUCCAGAGAGAUACCUCCAAAGCUCACCUAUAGAUGUCAACCUCUGCCAGUCCUUUGGGAUGAGGUCAUGAAUGCCUUUCUCCAAUGGAAAGCUUUGCCUUCUGCAGUUCGUGAGUCAGUUGUGACAUGGACAGCAUAUAGUCCUUCAACCUCAGCCUGCUCACUGGUGGGAUAUGGACCUAUUCGAGUCUGCUGCCUCAAAUAUAUGGGCCAUCAUUAUCCUAAGUGCCUGCACACCUACCCACCCCUGACCUGCCUGCCCUGCUCAGGAUUAACUCAGUCUGGAAGGCUUAGCUUGGCUUUUGCUUUGUUUUCUUCCAUUUGUUCAUCCACUAACCAUUAGGUGCAUGCAUAUUCAUAUCAGGCACUACUCUUGGCACCCAGAUACAGACAUAGACAUAAGAGCAGGCCCUGCCUCACAGAGCCCACAGUCCAGCUCUGCCUACCCCUGGGCUUCGGGCAGGGCUCAAAGCCCACUUUGUUGGCUGGGACUCUGCUGUGGAGGAAUGAAUGCCUAGAACCUCAUGGUCAAGGCUUUGGCUGACUCUCCUAAUUUGUCAAUUAGACCCCUGCUGAUAUGGACGCCUGUCUAUAUCUCACACUAGUGUGCCUUUCUCUUUUCUUCUGGAUCCUCUGCGUGGGCCUCCCCAAAUCCAUGUGGUCGACUGACAUCUCCCCACCCUGGACCCUGUCUGGUCCUGGUUUCUUCCACUAGUACACCACUCUGUUCUUGAAAUGUCAGCUGUAGCCAAUUCCACCUGAGUAAUGACAGGAUGGAAGAAUCAAGUCACCCUCACUGCCCCAGUCCUUCAUAACUAGGAACAUUUUUAUUCAAUAUGUUCUUAAAGCAUCUUGUCUGAAAUGUGUCACAAUUAAAAACAGGAGCCUUUUAAACA